Molecule: non-coding RNA, 460 nt
Organism: Penaeus vannamei (Pacific white shrimp)
Lineage: Eukaryota; Metazoa; Arthropoda; Malacostraca; Decapoda; Penaeidae
Source: RefSeq, a predicted model, not a curated record
UCUGGUUGGAGGAGGAAAGAACUACAGUUGGCCAUGGCUAUGUCAUUAUCUCACCAGAUGAGUGAGGAGAAGGCAGCAGAAUGGUAAAAUAAUAUUGAAAAAAAAUACCAAAAAUUAUAGAAAUAAAGCAAAUAUCAAAUAUUUGAUGACGUGGGGCAUACCUCAGAAGUUGCCAACUAGGAUUAUCAGAAAGAUGGAGUAGUUGCACCAAUCUAAAUAUUCUUUGGUGAACUAGAAACCUAUUCUAUUUUUUCUUUUCUUUUCUUUUUUACGUGUUAUUGUGGGAAGUGCUCUUCUAAUGCCAAGUCUCGAUUUUUUGUCAUAAUGAAUUUAGAGCUUGGAAGUUUACGUAAACCUGAAUCUAGAUCAGAUUAAACAUUCUCAAAGAAUAUCACCGAACUGUUAUGUUUACCACAUGCAUUGAUCCACUAAGACCAAUAAAGUUCAGUCAGAUUGAUGA